RNAcentral lists this small nucleolar RNA (148 nucleotides) under Mus spretus (western wild mouse). Its description in RNAcentral is "predicted gene, 24241 (ENSMSPG00010034862.1)". It matches the Rfam family "Small nucleolar RNA SNORA79", at positions 1 to 112 of the family's 143-position model. Rfam says of the family: ACA65 (SNORA79) is a member of the H/ACA class of snoRNAs that guide the sites of modification of uridines to pseudouridines. This snoRNA was identified by computational screening and its expression in mouse experimentally verified by Northern blot and primer extension analysis. Lineage: Eukaryota; Metazoa; Chordata; Mammalia; Rodentia; Muridae. The record is from RNAcentral.
UGAUGACUGUUCCUCCUGUCGCCUUUAGGUAUGGCGCUAGGAUUUUAGGUCAUCAUAAAUUAAAAUAGAUUUUUUUUUUCACUCAGAGAAUAUUAAGAUGUUGGGAGGCACUUGGUCAUGUCUUUUAGCUCUCAUGGCUGAUUCUCUU